This is a non-coding RNA of Penicillium camemberti, 70 nucleotides long. NCBI's taxonomy places the organism in Eukaryota, Fungi, Ascomycota, Eurotiomycetes, Eurotiales, Aspergillaceae. The record is from Rfam.
UGAGGCCUCCGACGUGACACAACAUCCUGCAGCGGUGUUGUGUGACCUGCAGUGUCCGUCGCUGGCCUCG